GACGAACGCUGGCGGCGUGCUUAACACAUGCAAGUCGAACGGAAAGGCCCUGCUUUUGUGUGGUGCUCGAGUGGCGAACGGGUGAGUAACACGUGAGUAACCUGCCCUUUACUUUGGGAUAACUUCAGGAAACUGGUGCUAAUACCGGAUAGGAGCUCCUGCUGCAUGGUGGUGGUUGGAAAUUUUCGGCGGUUGGGGAUGGACUCGCGGCUUAUCAGCUUGUUGGUGGGGUAGUGGCUUACCAAGGCUUUGGCGGGUAGCCGGCAUGAGAGGGUGAACGGCCACAUUGGGACUGAGAUACGGACCAGACUCCUACGGGAGGCAGCAGUGGGGAAUAUUGCACAAUGGGCGGAAGCCUGAUGCAGCAACGCCGCGUGCGGGAUGACGGCCUUCGGGUUGUAAACCGCUUUCGCCUGUGACGAAGCGUGAGUGACGGUAAUGGGUAAAGAAGCACCGGCUAACUACGUG
RNAcentral lists this ribosomal RNA (468 nucleotides) under uncultured bacterium. RNAcentral's name for it is "partial 16S ribosomal RNA". It matches the Rfam family "Bacterial small subunit ribosomal RNA", at positions 28 to 507 of the family's 1533-position model. The record is from RNAcentral.